GAUGAACGCUGGCGGCGUGCCUAAUACAUGCAAGUCGAGCGAACAGACGAGGAGCUUGCUCCUCUGACGUUAGCGGCGGACGGGUGAGUAACACGUGGAUAACCUACCUAUAAGACUGGGAUAACUUCGGGAAACCGGAGCUAAUACCGGAUAAUAUAUUGAACCGCAUGGUUCAAUAGUGAAAGACGGUUUUGCUGUCACUUAUAGAUGGAUCCGCGCCGCAUUAGCUAGUUGGUAAGGUAACGGCUUACCAAGGCGACGAUGCGUAGCCGACCUGAGAGGGUGAUCGGCCACACUGGAACUGAGACACGGUCCAGACUCCUACGGGAGGCAGCAGUAGGGAAUCUUCCGCAAUGGGCGAAAGCCUGACGGAGCAACGCCGCGUGAGUGAUGAAGGUCUUCGGAUCGUAAAACUCUGUAAUUAGGGAAGAACAAAUGUGUAAGUAACUAUGCACGUCUUGACGGUACCUAAUCAGAAAGCCACGGCUAACUACGUG
This 497-nucleotide ribosomal RNA is filed under the name uncultured bacterium. RNAcentral's name for it is "partial 16S ribosomal RNA". It matches the Rfam family "Bacterial small subunit ribosomal RNA", at positions 28 to 507 of the family's 1533-position model. The record is from RNAcentral.